GAACACUCUUUUCCUUCUAAAGCUUUUGUCAGGUCAUCAUUGCAAUUCCCAUUAUCUCCCAGCUCCACACUCCUUUCCUUCUUAUAAAUGAAUUUUUCUAGUCUGAAGUAAGUCAAACAUUAAAGUUGAGAGAAAAAAAAUGUUUGGAGCAAAGUUUGUGGCAGUUGUAGUUGUAACCCUUUGGUUAUCAAAGUCCAAUUUUAAUUUUGAAGCUUAUGGGGAUGCAGUAGGUGAUGUGAUCCCAACCCCAACUUCUUGUGAGAACUGUCAGGUUACUCCACCACCUUCUGGUUAUCCUUCUUAUGAAGCUCCACCACCACCAUCACAGCCACCUCCUCCAUCUUCUGGCUACUCUAUAUAUGGUGCUCCACCACCACCAUCACCACACAAGUCAGGCCAAUCUAAGUGUCCUCCUGCU
This 418-nucleotide long non-coding RNA is filed under the name Glycine max (soybean). RNAcentral describes it as "long non-coding RNA (GMAX_LNC003082)". The record is from RNAcentral. Lineage: Eukaryota; Viridiplantae; Streptophyta; Magnoliopsida; Fabales; Fabaceae.